UACGUAGGGUGCGAGCGUUAAUCGGAAUUACUGGGCGUAAAGCGUGCGCAGGCGGUUUGUUAAGACAGAUGUGAAAUCCCCGGGCUUAACCUGGGAACUGCAUUUGUGACUGGCAAGCUAGAGUAUGGCAGAGGGGGGUAGAAUUCCACGUGUAGCAGUGAAAUGCGUAGAGAUGUGGAGGAAUACCGAUGGCGAAGGCAGCCCCCUGGGAUAACACUGACGCUCAUGCACGAAAGCGUGGGGAGCAAACAGG
This 253-nucleotide ribosomal RNA is filed under the name uncultured bacterium. RNAcentral's name for it is "partial 16S ribosomal RNA". It matches the Rfam family "Bacterial small subunit ribosomal RNA", at positions 524 to 776 of the family's 1533-position model. The record is from RNAcentral.